RNAcentral lists this long non-coding RNA (1106 nucleotides) under Ananas comosus (pineapple). RNAcentral describes it as "long non-coding RNA (ACOM_LNC012970)". The record is from RNAcentral. Lineage: Eukaryota; Viridiplantae; Streptophyta; Magnoliopsida; Poales; Bromeliaceae.
AAUAAAAAAAAAAACAUAUAUAUAUAUAUAUAUAUAUAUAUAUAUAUAGAGUCCGGCUGGAUUACUAUCAAUAGUAUUAAGGAUUUGGUGCUAUCGAGUUUUCUAUCGUCAGAUUUAACUCUUUGAUUAUUUUUAUCCAUUGGAUUAUACUAUUCAACCAACAACUUACUCAACUCUAAGGACUCCACAUCAUCCUAACCGUACAUUUCUUCAUCCAAGAGCCAAAAACUUAAUAGCACCAAGUCCUUGGUGCUAUUGAUAGCAUUCCAGUCUAGUUAUAUAUAUAUAGUCCAGCUAUGGUACCAAGCACUUGGUGCUAGUAAGUUUUUUACCGUUAGAUCUAUUUCUCGGAUCAUUUUCAACCAUUAGAUUAUACUAUUCAACCAACCACCCACUCAAUCCUAGGGAGCCCACAUCAUCCUAACCGUAUAUUUCUUAAUCCAAUGGCUAAAAAUCUACAAGCACCAAUAACUUGGUACUUUUAAAAAUAUAGGAGCUCAAUUAUAUAUAUAUAUAUAUAUAGCUAGGCUGGUAUACUAUCGAUAGCACAGAGGCCUUCGUGCUACCAAGUUGUUUUCAAUGAUGCGGCUUCCAAAUCGACGAUCGGCUCCGUUAGACUUGAUCUACACUAUUAAAAGUAUUUGAAAAUUAAAUUUUAUAAUUUUUUCACAUCAUUUGGCUAGUGAUCAAAAGGUCUCAAAAUUGACAAUUUUAAUGGUAGAUUUGAUGUGUUUGUGAAUUUAACGGUGUAAAACAAUCCAAAUUGGAUGAAAUUUUAAUAGAAAAUUCUUUUCACUAUUUAGAGUAAGAUCAGUACCUCUGAUUUUAAAUUCAAGUCCUUUAUCAUCAUUUUUUAUGAAAUUUUUAUUUUCAGCCGUUCAUUUUUAGACUACUUGUUUGAUAGGUAAAUGAUGCCGAAAAAUUAUGAAAUUUAAUUUUCAAAUACUUUCAAUAAUAUAGAUCAAGUCUAAGGGAGCCGAUCGUCGAUUUGGAAGCCGCAUCAUUGAAAACAAUUUGGUAGCACGGAGGCCUCCGUGCUACCGAUAAUAUACCAGCCUAGCUCUCUCUAUAUAUAUAUAUACACCCACACGUAGUGAUCGAAGUAC